GUCCUACGGGGCGCAGCAGUGGGGAAUAUUGCACAAUGGGGGGAACCCUGAUGCAGCGACGCCGCGUGGGUGAAGGAGUAUUUCGGUAUGUAAAGCCCUAUCAGCAGGGAAGAACAAUGACGGUACCUGACUAAGAAGCACCGGCUAAAUACGUGCCAGCAGCCGCGGUAAUACGUAGGUGGCAAGCGUUGUCCGGAUUUACUGGGUGUAAAGGGCGUGUAGCCGGGUUGACAAGUCAGAUGUGAAAUCCUGCGGCUUAACCGCAGAACUGCAUUUGAAACUGUUGAUCUUGAGUACUGGAGAGG
Molecule: ribosomal RNA, 305 nt
Filed under: uncultured bacterium
Lineage: Bacteria
Description: bacterial SSU rRNA
Rfam family: Bacterial small subunit ribosomal RNA
Source: RNAcentral